CUUUCCUGCGUGCCGGGAGGAGGGCAUUGUUUCUCUGUCGCCCCAGUGAAAACCUGGCGGGCCUUGACGCCCGCCUGGCUCCGGGGCCCAGGAGGGCGCUAAAGAUCACGGAAGGCUCGGGAAGGCUGUCCCGACUCCCAGUUAUGUGGAAGAAGCAAAUGAGAUCUUAUUCUCUUUGUGUGGAGGUUUUUUUAAGCCGUGGCGGCAAGCCGUAGGUGCACAGCAGUUUCUGAGAAGAUACCGGAGAGUCACGUAGGCGGGGCCUCUGGAGGGAUGGGGUCUGGAAGAGAGGGGCGGGGCGUGUCUCCUUUCCCUUGAGCAUCCUUGGAGGACGGCACUAAGCGGACCGGCAUUGUUUCUCAGUUUGUAAACCCCCGCCAAACAAAAGCCCUGUGCCCCGCCGCGGGCUGACCCGGAGUCACUCGGCGACCCCUUUGCCCGGGCCGCGAGCGUGGGCUCACCAAAGCCCCGCCCACCUACUUGCCCCGCGCGUGGUCAGAGCGGAAUAACGAGGCCCUGUUUCCAGAUGAGAAAACCUAGGUCGGGUCCUUUGGAAGACUUCACUGUUUGUGAGGUCCCCACACUCCCCGCCCCCGGGCUCUAGUUGGCAUCGCUCAGCAAAGCGGGUGGGAGCGUCCUCUAACUGCCCCCGCGCCACGCCGGGGACAGAGCAUCCCUCCAGACCCCACCCCUCCCCGGGACAGCACCGCGGGGCCUGGCCGCCAGCCAUCCCUCUCCCCGGCCCCGCCCCCGGCCCCUCCCCAAUGAGGCUGGGCACGCCCCUGUUGCGAGUCGUCACCUCCCAGCCACCAGGCGCUGUCGGAGCGGAGCCGCCCCCUCGGGAGUUAGGGAGGGCUCUCCAGUCUCUAGCCUCUGGCUCCCCCUUAAACUGGGGUCUGACGGCGUGGCUUGAGCGGGUGCUUGGUUCCCCCGAAAUCUCCGUUAGUUCCACCACCCCUACCGGAAGUAAACAGAAGUUAGGUAAAAACGGGAUGCUUGCUACACUACUGCAGCCUCAAAACCGGCUCCCGGUCCCCCGCCAACCAAAUGCACCCAUUCCCCCCCAGUAUAGAAAUUCAGCAGCCGCUUCUAGUGUGGAGUUGAUGACCAAGAGCCCGGCUGUCUGUGCCCCUAGAUCCCGCCCCUUUAGGCUCCUGCCUCAAGGGUCGGAGCUUCUGAGUUGCCAUUCUUUCCUGGGCCCGAAAGCUUGGCCUAUGGCCCGCAGCCGUACCAGCCGAGUUUCAUCUAAGGGUUUCAUCCACUCAGACGAGGUGGGAGGACUCUGGUGUCUCCUUCUCCCACCGCUUGGUGUUGCCCGCAGUUUCCAUGGCUCCUGGAAGCCGCGAUCGCGUCAGCAGCUGAGGGUGGAGGAGCUCAGAGAGGCUCCUGUCCCUAGCCCUGACCUGGGCGCCAGGCUCUGAGGGGGUAAGUCGGACCCUCUUCCCGCUAGCCCUCCCACCAUCGAGAACACAGGAGUCCCCGCCUCCCAGUAAAGAAGCAGAGCUUUCUUUUUUAGAAGCAGGAUAGGCGCCAUCUCCCAGCUCCCCCUCUAAAAUCUUCAGUCCAGCGGCUGUCCUGCCUGAAGUUCUACCUUAGAGCCUCAUUCUUUUGUCUCUUUGUUCCUAAGAACUCACACCUAGAAGAGAGGCACUUGAGGAAAGUGAAGUAUGGGUAACUCCACCACCCCCAGUUCACCCCACCCCACCUCCCUCAUACCUCCAGUGCUGGAUGGCUGAGACCUUGGCAACUGGUGGCUGGGGAGGUCAAGGGCCUGGAGCACCUUCAGAGAAGGUUUGCUCACAUCCUCCGCCCCUCAGGUCCACGCUCUUUCUCUGGGCCUCAACCCAUGUGCCUGCCAAGUCUUUUCUGUGCUGGUUGAGGACACCAAGGAGAUGCCUCUGCCCUGUGCCCUGCCACCAGCCACCUGAGCCCCACAGCAACUAUGGCCCCCUUGAUCUCCCUUUUGCCCCCCUGUGCUCUUGGCUCAGCUCACCUCUCCCCCCAGGCCCCACCUUCUCUGAUCCCCUCCUUGUCCUCCUGCCCUUGCUCUCUUCUAUCUGCCACAUCCAUCUUUGCCCUUUCCAGGGCAGUUAACUCACCUUCAGGCCUUAGCCCAAGGGUCACCCUGGAAAGCCUUUCUGGGAGCCCCAAGGAAGGGUCUGACUCCCUUCUCUCUGCUGCCAUGGCACUUGGUGGCUGUGCUUCCCUCUGCGCUGGCUCCACAAGCUCAACAGCCUGACCUGUACCACUCCCCACUCUGGUAGACCAUGAGCGCCCCCCGCAAACCAAGCCAGGCAAGCUCCGAGUCUCAGUAAGGGCUGGGGGCUGCCCAUAGCGAGCCCCUGCCUCUAAGUGGGAAAGAUGGAGCACCCAGCCAGUGUGAAAUUGUGGGUGCUAUGCAGGGUGUGGAAGGAGGGGGGCAGGGACUGGUCCUCAUGGUCCAUUUUGGAGAGGCCUUGUGUGCUGGUAAAGUGGAGGGAGACAGCCCAGGAGGGAGCUACAGUAACCUGAACCUGGAGUCGGGAGAGGAGAGAGUCGAGGUGUCCAGAAGGGAGAGGGCCUGGUGGGUGGUGCUACAAUCCUGAGCAGGGACGGGUCUGGGAAUGUGAGGAGUAGGCAGGUCAGUUACGGGUCAGGGCCCCCACCUUACAGCUGAAGCUCUGAAAGCCAGAGAGGUACUGGAGCAGUGACGUGAUUUGAGGGCUUCUGACCCCCUACAUCAGAGCUAAAAUACGGCGUCUCCCCAGAUGUUCCCUGGCCCCGGCCAUUUCUAGGCUCCCACACUGGGAAGGAGAGCAGCAGGAUGGAGGAAUGUGGGCCCAGUUUGCAGUGGACUGACUACCUGCGUGACUCGGGGCAACUGAUUUCCCCUCUGAACUUCAGUCCCCCCACCCCAAACCCGGGAGGAUCAAAUGACCCCGUGUUUGUUCAGCAAGUAGCUGGGCCAUAGCACCCACAGAUCAUGGAAUCUUGGAACUUAGAACUGUUUAGCGAGGUUGAGGCUGGUGUUUAUUUGAAAUCCGAAUCACCAGGGAGAAUCCUGGGCGAAAGUUUGGGGUUGAAGGGUUUAAGUGCCCACUCAGCCCCAGGGCCUGUUUCCAUAUCUGAGGCGAGGCCUCAGAGGCUGGUGCUCUGGGAGGGCAGGUGUGCCCCAGCUCCAGGGUCUCCCCUCUAUCCUGCUGUCAGGACCCACUGAGAGCCCCACGGGCCUGAUGCCUGGUGCUGCCUGCUGUUCCCGGCACUGCCAUCACCCCUAGCUACUGGACUGUGCUCACCCACUGAGCCCCACUGAAGGAUGCAGGUGCUCUGACGGGGCCCCUGAGGGAAGCUGGGAGUGGUCAGAGAAGAACCUGCGGGUGUGGCUGGCAGAGAGCAGGUAGCAGCGGGCUGAGCUGGCUGGCCGCCUGCGGGCAGCCCUGGAGGCCCUGUCUGAGCAAGCACAGGUGCUGCAGAAGCAGGGAUGCAGGCUGGGACUCGGCAGGACCCAGUGUGAGCUGCUGGCUCCGAAGCAGAAAGUGAGGCUCUGGUCCUCUCCCCGUGAGUCCCCAACAGGGCUACCAUGUUGAAAGUGUCAUCUCUGUGAAUGGCACCCCCUGGAGGUGUGCAGUGCAUUGCCUGGUGUGGCUGGGAGCAGUGGAUAGAGGCAAAGGAAGGCCCAGGGAACCUCUGCCCUUCCCCUCCCAGGUAGAAUAAGAGGGAAGGAGGUGGCUGGUUUUAGCUCAGUGGACAGAGGAGUUUCCUCAGAAGCCCAAUCACCCCUGGUGAAGUUUCAGUCCCCAGGGAGGGAGGGAGGGUGAUGCACACUGAGGCUUCUAGGGGAGGUACCCAGCAUCCCUGCCGCAUGUGAGAGUAUGGACAGUGCCACCCUGUGAUGGCCUAGAUACCUAAGCCUUUAUGUGACCUGGUGGUCUCAGCCCACAGCUGACCCUCCUAGAGCCACUGCUCCCUACCAGCCAGGGAGGACCCCGGGAACCCAGUUGACAUGCCUGCCCACUCUCCAGCAUUCCACAGCAGCAGCCCCUGUACUCUUUUUUUUUGUUUGUUUUUUUAAAAUAUAUUUAUUUAUUUUUGGC
Aethalodelphis obliquidens (Pacific white-sided dolphin) is the source of this 4073-nucleotide long non-coding RNA. RefSeq lists it as uncharacterized. The record is from RefSeq and is a predicted model, not a curated record. Lineage: Eukaryota; Metazoa; Chordata; Mammalia; Artiodactyla; Delphinidae. The transcript is spliced from 2 exons.